RNAcentral lists this ribosomal RNA (263 nucleotides) under uncultured bacterium. Its description in RNAcentral is "partial 16S ribosomal RNA". It matches the Rfam family "Bacterial small subunit ribosomal RNA", at positions 793 to 1055 of the family's 1533-position model. The record is from RNAcentral.
GUCCUAGCAGUAAACGGUGCACGCUUGGUGUGAGGGGAAUCGACCCCCCUUGUGCCGGAGCAAACGCGUUAAGCGUGCCGCCUGGGAAGUACGGUCGCAAGACUAAAACUCAAAGAAAUUGACGGGGACCCGCACAAGCGGUGGAGUAUGUGGCUUAAUUCGAUGCAACGCGAAGAACCUUACCAAGGCUUGACAUGGAUUUCUAAGCACGUGAAAGCGUGUGACCCUUCGGGGAACUUCCACAGGUGCUGCAUGGCCGUCGU